AGUAGAGAUGGUGUUUCACCAUGUUGGCCAGGCUGGUCUCAAACUCCUGACCUCAGGUGAUCCACCCACC
Molecule: microRNA precursor, 70 nt
Organism: Cebus imitator (Panamanian white-faced capuchin)
Lineage: Eukaryota; Metazoa; Chordata; Mammalia; Primates; Cebidae
Source: Ensembl